Molecule: ribosomal RNA, 440 nt
Filed under: uncultured bacterium
Lineage: Bacteria
Description: partial 16S ribosomal RNA
Rfam family: Bacterial small subunit ribosomal RNA
Source: RNAcentral
CCUACGGGAGGCUGCAGUGGGGAAUAUUGGACAAUGGGGGGAACCCUGAUCCAGCGACGCCGCGUGAGUGAAGAAGUAUUUCGGUAUGUAAAGCUCUAUCAGCAGGGAAGAAAAUGACGGUACCUGACUAAGAAGCCCCGGCUAACUACGUGCCAGCAGCCGCGGUAAUACGUAGGGGGCAAGCGUUAACCGGAUUUACUGGGUGGAAAGGGAGCGUAGACGGUGCAGCAAGUCUGAUGUGAAAGGUCGGGGCUCAACCUCGGGACUGCAUGGGAAGCUGUUGAACUGGAGUACAGGAGAGGUAAGUGGAAUUCCUAGUGUAGCGGUGAAAUGCGUAGAGAUUAGGAGGAACACCAGUGGCGAAGGCGGCUUACUGGACUGUAACUGACGUUCAGGUGCGAAAGCGUGGGGAGCAAACAGGAUUAGAUACCCCAGUAGUC